GAACUAAUGCCAUUGCGUGACUAGAUCACUUUAGCCAAAUCUCGCGAUAAACAUUUCCGCCAUUUUAUUUUACACGAGGCAGCUGUCGGAGAGCAACGGGUGAGCAACAGUCUGAGUGAAAACCUUCACAUUUCUACUUCGAUCUUAAGAAAGCCAUACAGGUUUGGAACCAAGUGAAAGUGGUGACCAUAGACCUGCAUUAUAUGACUGACAGACAAGAAUAGUUUGACCUAAAAAAUUGAAACUACUGCGGAAACAAAGACACCUACAUCUUGGACGUCCUUAAGGUAAGCUAAAACAUGCCAAAAUUUAAUUUCAAAGUGAACUAUCCCUUUAAACUUGAGGGAAGAACUAAAGUAGAAAUGAAAAUAAAAUCUGUUUUCACCUUCAUUAGAAUGAUAAUUAAAAAAAAUACUGUAUUUCAGUUUCAAAACACAUUAUGAUAGUAGUCAGACAUGUCUUGGGAUAACAGUGUUACAUAAUCAAUUAUAAUGUUAAUUUUAUUUCCAUAUUCAGAAGUUAUGGAUCCCAAAUAUCUAAGAGAAUGGCGUCGCUUGAGAGAUCGAGUUAAUGCUCUUGCUGAAAAUUAAUAGGUCCUUUUCAUUGCCAUUUAAGUGAAAUUACAGAACUUGCAUAUAUGAG
This is a long non-coding RNA of Carassius gibelio (silver crucian carp), 642 nucleotides long. RefSeq lists it as uncharacterized. Lineage: Eukaryota; Metazoa; Chordata; Actinopteri; Cypriniformes; Cyprinidae. The transcript has 3 exons. The record is from RefSeq and is a predicted model, not a curated record.